AGCCCGGUAGUGUAGCGGUCAAUCAUGUGAGACUCUGGAUCUCACGACAGCAGUUCGAAUCUGCUCCGGGCUA
This 73-nucleotide transfer RNA is filed under the name Methanoculleus sp. Its description in RNAcentral is "tRNA-Gln". It matches the Rfam family "tRNA". From Rfam's summary of the family: Transfer RNA (tRNA) molecules are approximately 80 nucleotides in length. Their secondary structure includes four short double-helical elements and three loops (D, anti-codon, and T loops). Lineage: Archaea; Methanobacteriati; Methanobacteriota; Methanomicrobia; Methanomicrobiales; Methanomicrobiaceae. The record is from RNAcentral. RNAcentral also lists the same sequence under 3 other names.